RNAcentral lists this ribosomal RNA (222 nucleotides) under uncultured bacterium. RNAcentral's name for it is "partial 16S ribosomal RNA". It matches the Rfam family "Bacterial small subunit ribosomal RNA", at positions 57 to 305 of the family's 1533-position model. The record is from RNAcentral.
GCAAGUCGAGCGCAGUCCUUCGGGACCGAGCGGCGGACGGGUUAGUAACGCGUGGGAACAUACCCUUCUCUAAGGAAUAGCCUCUGGAAACGGAGAGUAAUACCUUAUACGCCCUUUGGGGGAAAGAUUUAUCGGAGAAGGAUUAGCCCGCGUUAGAUUAGGUAGUUGGUGGGGUAACGGCCUACCAAGCCUACGAUCUAUAGCUGGUUUUAGAGGAUGAUC